Molecule: ribosomal RNA, 1131 nt
Filed under: Pseudoalteromonas prydzensis
Lineage: Bacteria; Pseudomonadati; Pseudomonadota; Gammaproteobacteria; Alteromonadales; Pseudoalteromonadaceae
Description: bacterial SSU rRNA
Rfam family: Bacterial small subunit ribosomal RNA
Source: RNAcentral
AGUAGCUUGCUACUUUGCUGACGAGCGGCGGACGGGUGAGUAAUGCUUGGGAAUAUGCCUUUUGGUGGGGGACAACAGUUGGAAACGACUGCUAAUACCGCAUAAUGUCUACGGACCAAAGUGGGGGACCUUCGGGCCUCACGCCAAAAGAUUAGCCCAAGUGGGAUUAGCUAGUUGGUAAGGUAAUGGCUUACCAAGGCAACGAUCCCUAGCUGGUUUGAGAGGAUGAUCAGCCACACUGGGACUGAGACACGGCCCAGACUCCUACGGGAGGCAGCAGUGGGGAAUAUUGCACAAUGGGCGCAAGCCUGAUGCAGCCAUGCCGCGUGUGUGAAGAAGGCCUUCGGGUUGUAAAGCACUUUCAGUAAGGAGGAAAGGGUAGUCUUUAAUAGAGGCUAUCUGUGACGUUACUUACAGAAGAAGCACCGGCUAACUCCGUGCCAGCAGCCGCGGUAAUACGGAGGGUGCGAGCGUUAAUCGGAAUUACUGGGCGUAAAGCGUACGCAGGCGGUUUGUUAAGCGAGAUGUGAAAGCCCCGGGCUCAACCUGGGAACUGCAUUUCGAACUGGCAAACUAGAGUGUGAUAGAGGGUGGUAGAAUUUCAGGUGUAGCGGUGAAAUGCGUAGAGAUCUGAAGGAAUACCGAUGGCGAAGGCAGCCACCUGGGUCAACACUGACGCUCAUGUACGAAAGCGUGGGGAGCAAACAGGAUUAGAUACCCUGGUAGUCCACGCCGUAAACGAUGUCUACUAGAAGCUCGGAGCCUCGGUUCUGUUUUUCAAAGCUAACGCAUUAAGUAGACCGCCUGGGGAGUACGGCCGCAAGGUUAAAACUCAAAUGAAUUGACGGGGGCCCGCACAAGCGGUGGAGCAUGUGGUUUAAUUCGAUGCAACGCGAAGAACCUUACCUACACUUGACAUACAGAGAACUUACUAAAGAUAGUUUGGUGCCUUCGGGAACUCUGAUACAGGUGCUGCAUGGCUGUCGUCAGCUCGUGUUGUGAAAUGUUGGUUAAAUCCCCCAACCAACCCCACCCCCUAUCCUUAAUUGCUACCAGGUAAUCCUGAAAAAUCUAAGGAAAAUUCCGGUGAAAAACCCGGAAGAAGGUGCGGACGACGUCGAGUCUCCAUGG